AUGGUUGCAACCAACGAUGGAUCAGUGCCCCGCGCCUCGCCUGCUCGGCCCCAUGGGCAGCAUCUCCAUCAGCGACGACACCAGCGCCGUCGCCGGGCUCGGCGGCACGGGCCUCGCGGCGUCGGCGCACCGCACGAAGCUCGCGGCGAGGAUCGCGACGAGGACGGCGACGACGAGGAACAAGUCGAGGCGGCGGCGAGCUUCCAUGGCCUCCCAAGAAGAAACGAACGCGCCCUUGGAAUUGGAUGGAUCUCCUCUGAAUCCCAAGGAGCACAAGCACACAGAAGACUUGUCUGA
RNAcentral lists this ribosomal RNA (297 nucleotides) under Triticum aestivum (bread wheat). RNAcentral describes it as "partial small subunit ribosomal RNA". Lineage: Eukaryota; Viridiplantae; Streptophyta; Magnoliopsida; Poales; Poaceae. The record is from RNAcentral.